This 2900-nucleotide ribosomal RNA is filed under the name Klebsiella pneumoniae. RNAcentral's name for it is "23S ribosomal RNA". It matches the Rfam family "Bacterial large subunit ribosomal RNA". Lineage: Bacteria; Pseudomonadati; Pseudomonadota; Gammaproteobacteria; Enterobacterales; Enterobacteriaceae. The record is from RNAcentral.
GGUUAAGCGACUAAGCGUACACGGUGGAUGCCCUGGCAGUCAGAGGCGAUGAAGGACGUGCUAAUCUGCGAAAAGCGUCGGUAAGGUGAUAUGAACCGUUAUAACCGGCGAUGUCCGAAUGGGGAAACCCAGUGUGAUUCGUCACACUAUCGUUAACUGAAUACAUAGGUUAACGAGGCGAACCGGGGGAACUGAAACAUCUAAGUACCCCGAGGAAAAGAAAUCAACCGAGAUUCCCCCAGUAGCGGCGAGCGAACGGGGAGCAGCCCAGAGUCUGAAUCAGCUUGUGUGUUAGUGGAACGGUCUGGAAAGUCCGACGGUACAGGGUGAUAGUCCCGUACACCAAAAUGCACAGGUUGUGAACUCGAAGAGUAGGGCGGGACACGUGGUAUCCUGUCUGAAUAUGGGGGGACCAUCCUCCAAGGCUAAAUACUCCUGACUGACCGAUAGUGAACCAGUACCGUGAGGGAAAGGCGAAAAGAACCCCGGCGAGGGGAGUGAAAAAGAACCUGAAACCGUGUACGUACAAGCAGUGGGAGCACCUUCGGGUGUGACUGCGUACCUUUUGUAUAAUGGGUCAGCGACUUAUAUUCUGUAGCAAGGUUAACCGUAUAGGGGAGCCGCAGGGAAACCGAGUCUUAACUGGGCGUUAAGUUGCAGGGUAUAGACCCGAAACCCGGUGAUCUAGCCAUGGGCAGGUUGAAGGUUGGGUAACACUAACUGGAGGACCGAACCGACUAAUGUUGAAAAAUUAGCGGAUGACUUGUGGCUGGGGGUGAAAGGCCAAUCAAACCGGGAGAUAGCUGGUUCUCCCCGAAAGCUAUUUAGGUAGCGCCUCGUGAAUUCAUCUUCGGGGGUAGAGCACUGUUUCGGCUAGGGGUCAUCCCGACUUACCAACCCGAUGCAAACUACGAAUACCGAAGAAUGUUAUCACGGGAGACACACGGCGGGUGCUAACGUCCGUCGUGAAGAGGGAAACAACCCAGACCGCCAGCUAAGGUCCCAAAGUCAUGGUUAAGUGGGAAACGAUGUGGGAAGGCACAGACAGCCAGGAUGUUGGCUUAGAAGCAGCCAUCAUUUAAAGAAAGCGUAAUAGCUCACUGGUCGAGUCGGCCUGCGCGGAAGAUGUAACGGGGCUAAACCAUGCACCGAAGCUGCGGCAGCGACACUAUGUGUUGUUGGGUAGGGGAGCGUUCUGUAAGCCUGCGAAGGUGUGCUGUGAGGCAUGCUGGAGGUAUCAGAAGUGCGAAUGCUGACAUAAGUAACGAUAAAGCGGGUGAAAAGCCCGCUCGCCGGAAGACCAAGGGUUCCUGUCCAACGUUAAUCGGGGCAGGGUGAGUCGACCCCUAAGGCGAGGCCGAAAGGCGUAGUCGAUGGGAAACAGGUUAAUAUUCCUGUACUUGGUGUUACUGCGAAGGGGGACGGAGAAGGCUAUGUUAGCCGGGCGACGGUUGUCCCGGUUUAAGCAUGUAGGCUGGUUGUCCAGGCAAAUCCGGAUAAUCAAGGCUGAGGUGUGAUGACGAGGCACUACGGUGCUGAAGUAACAAAUGCCCUGCUUCCAGGAAAAGCCUCUAAGCAUCAGGUAACAUCAAAUCGUACCCCAAACCGACACAGGUGGUCAGGUAGAGAAUACCAAGGCGCUUGAGAGAACUCGGGUGAAGGAACUAGGCAAAAUGGUGCCGUAACUUCGGGAGAAGGCACGCUGGUGUGUAGGUGAAGUCCCUGCGGAUGGAGCUGAGACCAGUCGAAGAUACCAGCUGGCUGCAACUGUUUAUUAAAAACACAGCACUGUGCAAACACGAAAGUGGACGUAUACGGUGUGACGCCUGCCCGGUGCCGGAAGGUUAAUUGAUGGGGUUAUCCGUAAGGAGAAGCUCUUGAUCGAAGCCCCGGUAAACGGCGGCCGUAACUAUAACGGUCCUAAGGUAGCGAAAUUCCUUGUCGGGUAAGUUCCGACCUGCACGAAUGGCGUAAUGAUGGCCAGGCUGUCUCCACCCGAGACUCAGUGAAAUUGAACUCGCUGUGAAGAUGCAGUGUACCCGCGGCAAGACGGAAAGACCCCGUGAACCUUUACUAUAGCUUGACACUGAACAUUGAGCCUUGAUGUGUAGGAUAGGUGGGAGGCUUUGAAGCGUGGACGCCAGUCUGCGUGGAGCCAACCUUGAAAUACCACCCUUUAAUGUUUGAUGUUCUAACGUUGGCCCCUUACCGGGGUUGCGGACAGUGUCUGGUGGGUAGUUUGACUGGGGCGGUCUCCUCCCAAAGCGUAACGGAGGAGCACGAAGGUUAGCUAAUCCUGGUCGGACAUCAGGAGGUUAGUGCAAUGGCAUAAGCUAGCUUGACUGCGAGCGUGACGGCGCGAGCAGGUGCGAAAGCAGGUCAUAGUGAUCCGGUGGUUCUGAAUGGAAGGGCCAUCGCUCAACGGAUAAAAGGUACUCCGGGGAUAACAGGCUGAUACCGCCCAAGAGUUCAUAUCGACGGCGGUGUUUGGCACCUCGAUGUCGGCUCAUCACAUCCUGGGGCUGAAGUAGGUCCCAAGGGUAUGGCUGUUCGCCAUUUAAAGUGGUACGCGAGCUGGGUUUAGAACGUCGUGAGACAGUUCGGUCCCUAUCUGCCGUGGGCGCUGGAGAAUUGAGGGGGGCUGCUCCUAGUACGAGAGGACCGGAGUGGACGCAUCACUGGUGUUCGGGUUGUCAUGCCAAUGGCACUGCCCGGUAGCUAAAUGCGGAAGAGAUAAGUGCUGAAAGCAUCUAAGCACGAAACUUGCCCCGAGAUGAGUUCUCCCUGAGACUUUAAGUCUCCUGAAGGAACGUUAAAGACGAUGACGUUGAUAGGCCGGGUGUGUAAGCGCAGCGAUGCGUUGAGCUAACCGGUACUAAUGAACCGUGAGGCUUAACCUU